GGCUACUCAUCUAGGCAGGCUCGUCUCCUCGGAGCUGUAAGACACCCGUGUAUUCUCUUAGGCGGAGGACAGCCGAGCGACCGGAGUGACAGCAAAGGAAAGGCGGAGAGCGGGAGAAAGAAGCGUCUGCGCUGGCAAGCUCUCCCGGCAGCGCUGAGAGCCAGAGCUGCGGUGCUGCUGCGCCGAUGCUCCGUACGUUCGCAGUAACGGGUAGAGCGGAAGGCUCCGUGGCCAGGGAAGAGCGGCACGGACACGUUCCUGCUCGCUCCGUUGCACCGGAAUUUCGACGGCUGGGUUCGGCCGCUAAAUUGAUGGCGCUACCGGAAGAAAUUUCAGAAAAAAAGGGUGGCUUUUUCGUCGAUCUCUUUGUGAGAGUAUCAAAUCAGGCGGCGGUAAAUACGUAGAAGCAACUAGGCGUACUACGGCGUGUACCGGACAGCGUUGGCGUGCCGCUCUGCUAGCAGCGGAGAGCCAGAUGAGGAUGCCCGUGGUAAGUACUCGUUCUGCCUCCGGCUGAACGGAAAGAUUCUCAUGUGGAGGGUUCCUGGGCUUGUCUGUGUGAUUAGCAUUACUUUUUUUUUUUUUUUUUUUUUUUUUUAAUAUGAAACAGGGUCAGAUAAUUGUUGAUGAGUGGGACUUUGCGUACUCCUUUAGGUAGUUUUUCGUACUGAACCUUAGAUCGGUUACAAAACUUAAUCUUUGUGCAGUUUACACGUUUUGUAGCAACUACAAAGACAUUUAUCCUGUAGGUAAGCUGAAAAUAAAAAUGCGGUUUCUCACCUGAUUUUUCUUUCGGAGGAACGCUCGCCCCCAGCGGCUGGUUUUUUUUGCUAGUGUUGUCGGGGGGAAGGAACGGCGGCGCUUGCCUGGUUUCUUCCCCUAGCCAGGGACCUGAAACUUUGUUUUCCUCAGCUGUUUCACUAGAAAUUUACAAGUGUCGG
Long non-coding RNA from Grus americana (Whooping crane), 941 nucleotides. RefSeq lists it as uncharacterized. The record is from RefSeq and is a predicted model, not a curated record. The transcript has 3 exons. Lineage: Eukaryota; Metazoa; Chordata; Aves; Gruiformes; Gruidae.